This is a non-coding RNA of Plectropomus leopardus (leopard coralgrouper), 1300 nucleotides long. NCBI's taxonomy places the organism in Eukaryota, Metazoa, Chordata, Actinopteri, Perciformes, Serranidae. The record is from RefSeq and is a predicted model, not a curated record.
UGUUCUGGCGUGGUGCACUGUGGCGAAGCAUUUGGCCACCGUGAAAGAUUUUGGCCGAGUGUCAGGCAUCACAGCACGCGCACGCGGAACUUCCAUACAGGACGUGAACAUUUGUGGUGUCGGAAUAUUUGGAAGAACAAGUUCCUCAGUUGGAAAAUUCACAUGACCCAUGAAAUGGGACCAUCAGUGGAGCAUGUGACCACCAGAGCUACCACUUUCAGACCAAGGGGCGAAAGGGUCUUGGACUGGCUUGCUGGUAUGGGUCUACAUGAAGACAACUGCUGCUUUUUCUUUGGCUUAGUUUCUUUUUUGUUUUUUAUGUUGAAUGAGGUGGACUUGCAAACUUUGUACUAUUUUCUGUGGAAAUUAUAAGAGAUUCAUUGAACAUUACCAAAGUAGCCAGAGACAUUACAGAAGAAACUUUCCACUACCCUGCAUAUACAAAGACUGCACAUAAUUUCCAGACUAAAAACUCCCUGCAGGUCUACUUGAGAGAUCAUAGGGUCAUAGAAAGAAGUGGUGGACAUUUUGGCUUUAAACUAAAAUGCUCAUUGUGUGACUUUAGACAGGCAGUCACCCUAAAGCAAUAUAUAGAUCAUCUUGGGAAGCAUCUGAGGAAUAGGGAAACUGUUCUGUCCUUUCAGUCACUGUCCUUUCCAAUCAAAUGUUUUCUCCAGUUGUACAUCACAUAAAUGUUGUGGUCACCCACAUUCUACUUUAAAAGACUUUAAGACAGAGAUUACUGUUCAGGAGUGUAAAAGGAAUGUGGAAUUGGCAGAAUGUGAAACAGCUGAAUCACAGUCAGAUGUGACUGACAAUGACUUUCAUGUGCCACUUGAGGAUAAUUCUGAUAAUGAACCAGAGUACAAUGACACCACUGAAAAAAUUCAGGAAAGGCUUGCAUUAUUACUUCUGCAAAUGCAAGCAGUCUUGCAUGUCUCCAAAUUAGCCACUCGGGAAUCAGUGAAUCAGUGAAUUUUAUGGCAUUGGUGUUUGGAUUGGUGAACUAAAUGGUCAUACAGUAAAAAAGGUACUAAGACGGAACAAUUGUAACAUUGAUGAAAACACUAUAACUUUGGUAACAGGACCCUUAAACAACCACAGUCCACUCCGCUCCAUUUCCCUGAGUGGGUGUCUGGGAUCAGAACAAAAAGGUUGUCCUAUGUCAAAAAAAAAAAAAAAAAAAAAGGUGUCAUAGGCCCAGUUGUAUAUGUUUUAGAUUUGCCAUCAAAGAAAACCUUUGUUUAUGUCCCAGUUCUAAAAACGCUGCAAAGAUUGUUAAAUAGGGGUGAUGUUAUUC